GGGGGCGACAAGGUUUCGACGGGGGCACAGACGUUCCCGGUCGCGUGUCGAGUGGGCUUUCACACUCGUAAAUCAAAGAGGGCAAAAACCACAAAAGCCAACGACAACGUUGAGCUUGCGCUGGCCGCCUAAAAACCGGUCACUGCACGGUCGCUUCAUUUUCUGUCGGUGAGGUGAAGAUCGACCGCCAUAAUGCCGGCUGGUUCUCCGAGUACCUGAGCGAGGAGAACGAGAAAGAGUCAGGAUCGGUUCUCUCACCAUCUCGUCCGUUGGAGUGUGAGGGGCUUAAAGAAACAAAGAUCGGACUACGCACGUAGUGACUUGGAACUGAAGGCUUUCGGACCCGGGUUCGAUUCCCGGCGCCUCCACUG
This 371-nucleotide transfer-messenger RNA is filed under the name Archangium sp. It matches the Rfam family "transfer-messenger RNA". From Rfam's summary of the family: Bacterial tmRNA, also known as 10Sa RNA or SsrA, is named for its dual tRNA and mRNA-like properties. Its role is to liberate the mRNA from a stalled ribosome. To accomplish this part of the tmRNA is used as a reading frame that ends in a translation stop signal. The record is from RNAcentral. Lineage: Bacteria; Pseudomonadati; Myxococcota; Myxococcia; Myxococcales; Archangiaceae.